Brassica napus (rape) is the source of this 1050-nucleotide long non-coding RNA. RefSeq lists it as uncharacterized. The record is from RefSeq and is a predicted model, not a curated record. The transcript is spliced from 2 exons. Lineage: Eukaryota; Viridiplantae; Streptophyta; Magnoliopsida; Brassicales; Brassicaceae.
UUCUCUCUAACUUCAGUUUCACAAAAAGCAUGAGAUGAAAAUGUGGACCACACCCAAAUCACGUUGAAAAGUGACAAAAAUAAUAGUUAUGAACAUGUAAACCUAAAAAUUACCAAACGAAUCAUCUAUCAGUGUAUAUAUAUAUAUAUAUGAUAUAAAAACAUUUAUCAGUUAAAAAUAGGGGAUAAUUUGCUUAAAAACCAAGGAAGAUGGAGAAAUUAGAAAUUUGCCAAUAACAGUAAAAGUUUGAUGUGUGUGAAGACAAACGCUAGAGUGAAAGACGCAACUGCCCCUAAUACUUGACGAAUUGAUUUCCAGAACCUAGAUGAUGUACACCUAUAAGCUGACGAUUUGGAAAGAUUAUAAAAAUAUUUUGUUUAGAUUUGAUAAACUUAUCUCGGUAAAAAAUAUAAUCAAAAUUACACCAAACCCACAUCUUCUUUCAUUGCCGACGUCUUUCUCUUCAUCUUCUUUCCUCUUUUUCCUAAUAAAUCUAAACAAAAUUGAAGAAGAACACGAGUUCCAAAUAAUUCAUGAGUUCAUCUGGUUAUUUCUCCAUGCGUUCAUGAGGUGGUGGAUACGGCGGAAGGGAAACCACUCCUAUUGUCAAGAAGAUGAGAGGAGGACCUACUGGUUCUAGCAAAAGGCAAAAGGCAAAAGCUUUAGUUUUGUUCAAUGUUUUGAAGAAGAAGAGUCAAUGCAUCCGUUUUGGCGAGGGAAGUGGAAGAAAAACCAGACUAAAGAAUGGCAGCCUAAGGCCAAAAAACAUUGGAUUGGCCUUUCUAUUGUGAUACAGAUGUAUAUACUUAAGUUUAAGCAAGAAUAUCUAUUGGGUAUAGUCCUCGGCUACAGAAAAGCUUAGCAUGGUUAAGUUUAUUUUUGGUUUGAUAAUCUUUCUUGUAACCGAUGAGGAAUUAUGUUUACAAAACCGGUUACAAGAAAUUUUAGCAUUGUUUGCUUUCUUGUUGGCGUGUUAAAAUUUCUUGUAACCAAUAAUAUAAUAAAAUAUCAUGUAAUGAAAUUGUCUUAUUGUCAAAUUGUUUUCUAUAA